RNAcentral lists this long non-coding RNA (284 nucleotides) under Phoenix dactylifera (date palm). Its description in RNAcentral is "long non-coding RNA (PDAC_LNC017084)". Lineage: Eukaryota; Viridiplantae; Streptophyta; Magnoliopsida; Arecales; Arecaceae. The record is from RNAcentral.
CUCGGCUCUCCAACAAACCUUAACACCCUUGAUUCAAUCUCCUGAUUGAAUCAAGUAAGAAACAAAUAGGUUGAAAUAAAUAAAAAAGGAAGCUUCUCAAUAAGCGUAUUUAAACAAUAUAAGCAGGGAAGAGUAAGAAGCCCUCAAACUGAUUUUGGAGAUGGAGGAAGGGGCUUUUCAAACUCUUUGACUCCUCUUGAAUUUGAUGUAGACUUGCUGUCAGGAGGAGAGCCUUGAAUGUGAGGAAGACAGUUGGAGAGUAGACUUCAAUGCACUUCUUCCUU